Molecule: long non-coding RNA, 1829 nt
Organism: Leopardus geoffroyi (Geoffroy's cat)
Lineage: Eukaryota; Metazoa; Chordata; Mammalia; Carnivora; Felidae
Exons: 2
Source: RefSeq, a predicted model, not a curated record
CACUUAACCAAUGGAGCCACCCAGGGGCUUCAGUGCACGAUGUUUCAUAAUAAAAACUGAAAACAGUUUACUCCCCACAUGCUUAUGAACCAAGGACCAGGAUGGCUGGGGAGAAACCUGCCCAAAAUCACACAGGGAGUUGGGGGCAGAGCCCUAGGAUUCCACCUCCAGCUUGACACUGAUCUAGAGACCCCCCCACUACCACUACCCUGAUCUUGGGUCCCUGGCUUCACAUCAGCACCGCCCCUCCCCACACUGGGCUGGAGCCCUCUCACCCGUUGCAGGGCACCAGCCCUGGGACCCUGUGGAGCUUGGCUAAACGAGGAAAAGGAGCUGCAUUGCCGUGGUCGGGACACUGAGGCAGGGGCCGUUCGUGUCUUGCACAGAGCCCCAAGGAAGUUUCAUGCAGAGGCUCUCCAGCUCUCCAGGCUGGGGGAGGAGAGGAACCAGCUUGCUGAUGACAUUCACAGCUACCCUCCCUCCUGCCAGAGAAGAAAAGUUUGUUUCGGCCGCUUCCCCUGUCCCUUGCCACAUCCUUGAUCAGUGCUGACCCGCUCCGGACUACCUUCUCUGCUUCUGCCCCUCCUACCCCACCAACAUGAAAAGACAGACACCAGUCAUUCCCAUUUUGCAGACAAGAAGACUGAGGCUGGAUCAUGAGGCCCUCGUCCAGGGUCACAUCAUGACUACAUCCAUGUUACUGCAUCGCUACCACAGCACCAGAGGAAUACCCAGCGGGGUGCUCCCCACACCCGAUCUGGACCCUCCCCCCCCCCGCCCCGAAGCAUCCCUGUUUGGGGAACCGCUUUUCUUUGGGUCCAGCCUCCGUUCCUGAGUCAGGGAGCUCUGUGCCCAGAGAGUGGGAUUCUAACACGACACCCCUUCAGGAGCUGGGAGAAUGCGGAUUGUCAGGGCAGGGCAGCAGGCUUGGAAAAACAAGGGCGUCCUUGUCCCCGCCUGCCAGGCUGGGCUAAUUACUGCCCGGACCCCGGGAGCUUUCUUAGGCAGCUGGAGCCCACCCUUCACCCGAACUGCGGGGAGCAAAACCCUCCCCCGCCUACAGGCAUCAGGGGCUGGGGGGCUUCCUCUUGCUGAGAGGAGCUGGGAGCCCAGAGCGUUUUGGGGGGGGGGUCCCAUCCUCGAUGAUGUUCUUUUUCGCAGCCCAGUCCCUGCCAGGGAUGCCAGGCAUGCCAGUGACCUUGCCUGUCUGUCCACAGGGCCUCUGCCCCAGCCCCUUGUCCUUGACCGCCGUGUUCCUACUCCUAGGAGGCCUAGGGAGCCAGGCUUCAGGCCUAAAAUUCAUGUCCUUCCCCUGCUUAGAACCCUUCAGGGCUCCCUGUUGCCCUUAGAAAAAAGUCCACCUCCGCAGCCCUGCCCUUAUGAGGCCCUCGCUGACCAGGCCGGCCGCCCCUCGGCCCUCAUCUGAGCCCUGGUUUCCUUGUGUCCCUGCCUCCUGAGCUCCUCAAGAUUCCUCCCAACGUCACCCCAAGGCUGCCCCCGCUGCUUGCCACCCACUUAUCUUGGGUAUCCUGGGAGACACAUCCAGGCUGUCACCUCCUCCAGGAAGCUGCCUUUGAGAAUUAGAUGCAGCCCAAAGCAUCCUGCCCAUAAUUCUGUCAGAACUCCUAUUACUUUAUACGUUGUAUACCUGGGGGCGCCUGGAUGGCUCAGGCGGUUAAGCGUCCGACUUCGGCUCAGGUCAUGAUCUCGCAGUUUGUGGGUUCGAGCCCCGCGUCGGGCUCUGUGCCGACGGUUCAGAGCCCGGACCCUACUUCCGAUCCCGUGUCUCAUUCUCUCUCUGCCCCUCCCCCACUUGUGCUCCGUCCCUC